GCCCCGGCUGCAACCACACACUGUGCGAGGCACAGUGAAUUUUUCCUCUUAAGAUUGCAGCAAAAAUGGGACUCUUCAUUUCGCAGUGAAAGGAACCAGAGUUGCCAAAAAGGCUGCUUCCAGGUCUGGGGCAGGCUAAGUACAAUGAUCCUGGAACAUCUUACCAUUUCAGAAGACAAGCCCAUAAAGAUACUUGGGUAGAAGGAAAGUUGAGUGGUUCCACUAACCAAAGGUAAUUCUACGAAAUUAGCUUAACACAAGAAAUUUACUGAUACAGUUCCUCCCCAGAAUAGCAGCUUCCUCUGGGAACAUAUCAGUCAAGACCACCUGCCCUGCCCCAAGAAGCUCCAGCAGACUUCUUGAAGCUUAUUGGCAUUGAUGGGUCACAUGGCUACUCUUAACUGCAAUGGAAGAUUGGAAAGCAAGUCUUUGGAGAAAGGGGAAAAAGUUGGCUAUGAUAAGCUGAACCCAAGCAUCCUUGUCCCCUGGGGCUGGGCACAUGUUGCCCAAACAAAAUCAGGGCUUUGUUAGCCACAUAGAUGGGGGAAUGGCUGCAUGGUGAGCAACAAAUAGUGCUAUCACCAGGUAUUAAACUAAUAAAUA
Manis pentadactyla (Chinese pangolin) is the source of this 603-nucleotide long non-coding RNA. RefSeq lists it as uncharacterized. NCBI's taxonomy places the organism in Eukaryota, Metazoa, Chordata, Mammalia, Pholidota, Manidae. The transcript is spliced from 4 exons. The record is from RefSeq and is a predicted model, not a curated record.